Molecule: long non-coding RNA, 640 nt
Filed under: Pan troglodytes (chimpanzee)
Lineage: Eukaryota; Metazoa; Chordata; Mammalia; Primates; Hominidae
Description: lincRNA
Source: RNAcentral
AAGUUCUAUUAAUACAUGAGAGUUUGACUUGAAUGUCAGACUUUAUAGUAAUUAGAUAAGACUCAGCUGCUUUUUGGCUGACUACCAAAUUUUAAUCUCUGUGUUUGUUUUCCGCCCUUUGGCCCACUUUCUCUGACAGCCAGCAUUCUGAGAGACAAGUGGUAGAAGAUACCUGGAAGUCUCACUAUUUUACAUUUCUAUGUUAAUCAAUUAAACUUCCUGAGUUUGGGCUGAACACAUGGUGUAUUAAUUUAUUCUUGCAUUGCUAUAAAGGACUACCAGAGACUGGGUAAUUUAUAAAGAAAAGAGGUUUAAUUGGCUCACAGCUCUGAAGGCUGUACUGGAAGCAUGCCUGGGAAGGUCUCAGGAAACUCACAAUCAAGACAGAAGGUUUUUCUAUAAUGUAUCACCAGCAACUAUGGUGAUGACAGCUUUUGGAACAUCCUUUCAUUAUUUCAAAAGUAAAUAAUCUAAUAUGGUUUAAUUACUUGAGCCUCAACGACAACAAAGAAGAAGAACAUAGGUUCCUGGCUUUUUUUGUUUGUUUUUUGAGACUGAAACUUUUGGGGAAACUCUAUGUAUAGUCACAUAGAAUACAGUGCAAAUAAAGUAAUAACUUGACCCCAAACAGAAACUUCAA